AUUGAACGCUGGCGGCAUGCCUUACACAUGCAAGUCGAACGGCAGCACGGGAGCAAUCCUGGUGGCGAGUGGCGAACGGGUGAGUAAUAUAUCGGAACGUGCCCAGUGAUGGGGGAUAGCCCGGCGAAAGCCGGAUUAAUACCGCAUACGACCUACGGGUGAAAGCAGGGGAUCGCAAGACCUUGCGUCAUUGGAGCGGCCGAUAUCAGAUUAGCUUGGGUGGGUAAAGCCUACCAAGGCGACGAUCUGUAGCUGGUCUGAGAGGACGACCAGCCACACUGGGACUGAGACACGGCCCAGGACUCCUACGGGAGGCAGCAGUGGGGAAUUUUGGACAAUGGCGCAAGCCUGAUCCAGCCAUGCCGCGUGC
This 370-nucleotide ribosomal RNA is filed under the name uncultured bacterium. RNAcentral's name for it is "bacterial SSU rRNA". It matches the Rfam family "Bacterial small subunit ribosomal RNA", at positions 30 to 404 of the family's 1533-position model. The record is from RNAcentral.